RNAcentral lists this ribosomal RNA (795 nucleotides) under uncultured marine thaumarchaeote. RNAcentral describes it as "bacterial SSU rRNA". It matches the Rfam family "Archaeal small subunit ribosomal RNA", at positions 83 to 879 of the family's 1478-position model. The record is from RNAcentral. Lineage: Archaea; Thermoproteati; Nitrososphaerota.
CGGCUGCUCAGUAACACGUAGUCAACUUACCCUAUGGACGAGGAUAAUCUCGGGAAACUGAGCAUAAUACUCGAUAGAUCAUAAUGCCUGGAAUGGUUUAUGGUUGAAAUGAUUCGUCGCCAUAGGAUGGGACUGCGGCCUAUCAGCUUGUUGGUGAGGUAAUGGCCCACCAAGGCGAUUACAGGUACGGGCUCUGAGAGGAGAAGCCCGGAGAUGGGUACUGAGGCAAGGACCCAGGCCCUAUGGGGCGCAGCAGGCGAGAAAACUUUGCAAUGUGCGAAAGCACGACAAGGUUAAUCCGAGUGAUCUCUGCUAAAGAAAUCUUUUGCAAGUCAUAAAACCACUAGUGAAUAAGGGGUGGGCAAGUUCUGGUGUCAGCCGCCGCGGUAAAACCAGCACCUCAAGUGGUCAGGAGGAUUAUUGGGCCUAAAGCAUCCGUAGCCGGCUCUGUAAGUUUUCGGUUAAAUCCAUGUGCUCAACGCAUGGGCUGCCGAAAAUACUGCAUAGCUAGGGAGUGGGAGAGGUAGACGGUACUCGGUAGGAAGGGGUAAAAUCCUUUGAUCUAUCGAUGACCACCUGUGGCGGAGGCGGUCUACCAGAACACGUUCGACGGUGAGGGAUGAAAGCUGGGGGAGCAAACCGGAUUAGAUACCCGGGUAGUCCCAGCUGUAAACGAUGCAGACUCGAUGAUGCAUUGGCAUAUAGCCAGUGCAGUGUCGCAGGGAAGCCGUUAAGUCUGCCGCCUGGGAAGUACGUACGCAAGUAUGAAACUUAAAGGAAUUGGCGGGGGAGCAG